This 500-nucleotide ribosomal RNA is filed under the name uncultured bacterium. RNAcentral's name for it is "partial 16S ribosomal RNA". It matches the Rfam family "Bacterial small subunit ribosomal RNA", at positions 30 to 523 of the family's 1533-position model. The record is from RNAcentral.
AUUGAACGCUGGCGGCAGGCCUAACACAUGCAAGUCGAGCGGAUGACGGGAGCUUGCUCCUUGAUUCAGCGGCGGACGGGUGAGUAAUGCCUAGGAAUCUGCCUGGUAGUGGGGGACAACGUUUCGAAAGGAACGCUAAUACCGCAUACGUCCUACGGGAGAAAGCAGGGGACCUUCGGGCCUUGCGCUAUCAGAUGAGCCUAGGUCGGAUUAGCUAGUUGGUGGGGUAAUGGCUCACCAAGGCGACGAUCCGUAACUGGUCUGAGAGGAUGAUCAGUCACACUGGAACUGAGACACGGUCCAGACUCCUACGGGAGGCAGCAGUGGGGAAUAUUGGACAAUGGGCGAAAGCCUGAUCCAGCCAUGCCGCGUGUGCGAAGAAGGUCUUCGGAUUGUAAAGCACUUUAAGUUGGGAGGAAGGGCAGUAAGUUAAUACCUUGCUGUUUUGACGUUACCGACAGAAUAAGCACCGGCUAACUCUGUGCCAGCCGCCGCCGCAG